GGGGGGUAAGAUGUACGCAGUCCAUACCUCUACCUCUGAUGAAGCAGAAAGGCUGUUUCCGAUAGACCCCCGGCUCAAGGCACGAGAUACCACACAAACACAUAGUAAAGCACAGAAGCAGAUUACAUAACAUAAAUACGGCACCCAUAAGUAAUAUAAAACAGAGGAAAGCAGAGGAAAACACACAGAUUCGUAAUAAAACAUGGAACACGGAACACGGAAUCAUAACAGGAAUAAAA
RNAcentral lists this long non-coding RNA (239 nucleotides) under Capsicum annuum. RNAcentral's name for it is "long non-coding RNA (CANN_LNC016970)". The record is from RNAcentral. Lineage: Eukaryota; Viridiplantae; Streptophyta; Magnoliopsida; Solanales; Solanaceae.